This 1167-nucleotide unclassified non-coding RNA is filed under the name Bombus terrestris (buff-tailed bumblebee). RNAcentral's name for it is "misc RNA ENSBTSG00005034622.1". The record is from RNAcentral. Lineage: Eukaryota; Metazoa; Arthropoda; Insecta; Hymenoptera; Apidae.
UUCGGUGUUUCAGAAAUUGCGUUCAAUUUUUAUUGAAAUUCUUCCACGAUACCUGCGGUAACUGAUAACAAAUCAAUUUCAGCUUGUUAAUUUAAUCAUAACAACGUUCUGUAUCAUCAUAUUGUAGUCUAUCUUUUAAACGUGUCAAAUUUAAAAUGUUACAAUCCGUAUCAGACCACAUGAAAUGCUAAAUUACACGUUGCAGGCUCGUGCAUUCGUUAUUAUGACGUUAGACGUUUACGUUAUGAAAUACAUGGAAGAAAUGUAUGUAUGUAUGUAUGUAUGUAUGUAUGUAUGUAUUAUCAAGUAUGUAUAAGCUAAUUUGCUUCCCAUUAUUAUUGAACAAUAUCGUUACUAUAGGAUACUUAUUAAUAUAUUAAUAAACUGAUAGUUAAUAUAUGUGAAUUAUCACAUUUAUUUUGCAGUAUUAAUUCCUAAUUUCUUACUCAAGAAAUAUAGGCAAUUGUGAUUCAUAGAUAAAUAUGUUUCAAUCAAUUAUACAAUUUCUGUAACAAUAGUAUUUAUCACUUAUUCUUCCGCUUCCUAUCAAUUUUAUCAAUUUCGUAUUUGGAUUUAAAAGAAUAUUUUAACGAUUAUAAGUUAAGAUGUCUGUAAAAUUUGAAUUCGAAUCAGAGAACUGAUGUUAUGAUAUAUAGAUAGCGAGUUCUGCAUUAUACAACCAUCUAAUACCGUUACUUAGCUAUAACACUACGCGAUGUUUCAUCGUGCGCACUAACCUAUCUUUUAUACCGAUCAUCAUCGACCACUGUUUUGUAAUAUCGUCAAUAAAAUAUGACACGAAGCCAUCGUGUGAUCGAUUUUUCCGUCGAAUGUCAAGCCUCAUGAUUCUAAUUGUAUUCGCCGUUUCGAUCGUCUAGUCGAACGACGCACAUCACUAUUUACCUUCAUUGUGGACGAUCUUAGUUCGUCGACCGCAACAUCAACAACGCGGUAAGAUCGACGCGUAUGGUUACGUUACCGCCUGUUAUCCGGAAGUUUGGCAAAAAGCUGCUUCUCAAAACGUGACUAAUAUCGACGAUUUUCGUACAAGGCGAAAAGCUUACACAGAGACGAAACAGGCGAAGCAGACGAACCUGCCGCACGACCUGCACUGACUCUCGUCUGCUUCAACGACAGAACCUGGACUCUCACUAUACGACCGCGUGC